CUUCAGGGAGCCGAGCCACAGCGGCCGCUCCCGCUCCUGGCCGUAGGUCGCCAGCAGCGCCUGCGCCUC
Molecule: antisense RNA, 69 nt
Filed under: Amycolatopsis tolypomycina
Lineage: Bacteria; Bacillati; Actinomycetota; Actinomycetes; Pseudonocardiales; Pseudonocardiaceae
Description: ASpks TB sRNA
Rfam family: ASpks TB sRNA
Source: RNAcentral